Molecule: transfer-messenger RNA, 380 nt
Filed under: Bacilli
Lineage: Bacteria; Bacillati; Bacillota
Also listed under: 1 other name
Description: CAG-417 sp902791625 Standard tmRNA
Rfam family: transfer-messenger RNA
About the family: Bacterial tmRNA, also known as 10Sa RNA or SsrA, is named for its dual tRNA and mRNA-like properties. Its role is to liberate the mRNA from a stalled ribosome. To accomplish this part of the tmRNA is used as a reading frame that ends in a translation stop signal.
Source: RNAcentral
GGGGAUGCAAUGGUUUCGACGGUAUUAUUAUCGCAUAGAUGGCAAGUCGAGUGCUUACGUAAAAAGCAAAAAGCAAUAAAUGCAAACAAAGUAAAAAAUGCUUUAGCUAAUUUAUUUGGUUCUAAGAACCAAGAAUUAGCUUUCGCCUAAUUAAUUAAAAGGCAAGCGUCUCUACUAUUUUUACCUAGCAAAUAGAUAGGGAUUCAUUUUAUAGGUUAUAGCUAUCUUUUGCCUAGAAGAUAGAAAGAAUAAUCAGGCUGGUACAUUUAUUUUGUCGUUAACUACUUGAUAAGUGUAUAAGAUUAUUUAGUUAACUAAACUUGUAGAGGUUUAUGUAGAGGUAAUAUCGGACAGGAGUUCAAUUCUCCUCAUCUCCACCA